UACAGAGGUGGCAAGCGUUGUUCGGAAUUACUGGGCGUAAAGAGCUCGUAGGUGGUUUGUCGCGUUGUUCGUGAAAACUCACAGCUUAACUGUGGGCGUGCGGGCGAUACGGGCAGACUGGAGUACUGCAGGGGAGACUGGAAUUCCUGGUGUAGCGGUGGAAUGCGCAGAUAUCAGGAGGAACACCGGUGGCGAAGGCGGGUCUCUGGGCAGUAACUGACGCUGAGGAGCGAAAGCGUGGGGAGCGAACAGG
RNAcentral lists this ribosomal RNA (253 nucleotides) under uncultured bacterium. RNAcentral describes it as "partial 16S ribosomal RNA". It matches the Rfam family "Bacterial small subunit ribosomal RNA", at positions 524 to 776 of the family's 1533-position model. The record is from RNAcentral.